Molecule: transfer RNA, 74 nt
Filed under: Desulfobacteraceae bacterium
Lineage: Bacteria; Pseudomonadati; Thermodesulfobacteriota; Desulfobacteria; Desulfobacterales; Desulfobacteraceae
Also listed under: 1 other name
Description: tRNA-Trp
Rfam family: tRNA
About the family: Transfer RNA (tRNA) molecules are approximately 80 nucleotides in length. Their secondary structure includes four short double-helical elements and three loops (D, anti-codon, and T loops).
Source: RNAcentral
GGGUCAGUAGUUUAACGGUAAAACGCUGGACUCCAAAUCCAGAGAUGGGGGUUCAAUUCCUCCCUGACCUGCCA